CAUUCCGGUUACCGUUGUACCGCUGGAGCUUAAUUGAUUAAAUCCGGUUACUGUAACUGAACCGGUCGGUACAAAGUCAAAACCAUUAUCAAACCUCAAAACCUCAACUUGAGGUUGGUUUUGAUGAUGAUGAUUUGGACUAGUGUUACUUCCUCCUCCUGCUCCAAACGCUCUAAACAAUUCAUUCUGCUGCUGCUGCUGCUCUCUCGCAACCGCAUUAACCGCAGCUAGUUGCUGAGCCUCAAAAAUAUUUUGCUGUUGCUGAUGGUACAGUUGUCCAGUUGGAAUAGCCAUCAUUGGAAACAAGUUAUGAUGCAGUUGCUGCUGCUGAGUCAGCACAGACGCUGAAGAAGAGUAGGAAGACGGUCGCUGCGGCUGCGGCGGUAGAGACAUGAAAUGCGGUUGAGGAUGAUGCUGCGUUUGGAGAAUAGGAAGCAUAGCUUGAGGACCAACGUAAGCAGCGAGUUCUUUCUUGGCGUUUUCAAGAUCUUGUUGAAGCUGUUUAUGCCGAUGUUGAAGGAUCGAGAUUAAACCUACGCAACCAUACACAGGGUCGCGGAGUCGAGCUUCGGCUUCGUAGAAAAGAGAGUUAACCGCGUCUUCUCUUUGGUUAGCGGCAAUCUCGUUGAGAAGCUUAGCGACAUUACUUGCACCGAAGACUUUGUGAACAUAAGAGAAUUUUUGAGGGUUAUCUGGAGGGAAAUAUGGAGCGAAUACACACUCUUGUGUGCAUUUUCUCCUUAGGAACUUACAAGCUGCGCAUGGAGAGCUUGAAGACGCCAUUUUUGUUUCUCUGGAAAAGUCUGGAAGAAAAAAAUAUUCAGUUUGUUUGAUUAAAUAAACAGUUUCUUUUUUUAAUAUAAGAAAAUAGGGAUCGUGAAAGUAAAUGCAUCGAGGAAGCUUCAUGUCACAGUCAUUAGAGAUAACAUCGAGAAAAGGGGUAUCGUGAGUAGUGCAUACAAAAAUGUUCCGUACAAGAAAUACAAUAGUGAAACAACAAUAAAAUCUGAAUAUUUCAAAAAAAAAAACUAAUGGUGUAUUAUACUAGUGCUCUCUAACAAUAUGAUAAAACUAGAAAUGGUUACAAACCAGAGUAGAGAUGAUGGCGACCGUAUGACUUUCAAAUGUUUAUUCGAUUACAGAUCUGUGUUAUUAAAAAAAAAAAUGUAAGGGUAGUAUAAGAGAGAAGAUCAAACAGAUUUCAAAAUAAAACAAAACAUAAAUCAUCAUAAAUGAUAAUAAAGAAAAGAAAAAUCUAUCAAUAUCAAUCUAUGUCAAUCAAACAAGCAAAUCAUCAAACGAAAAAAGAAAAUCAGUCUUACCUCAAUUAAAUAUACAAAUCUUUCUCCUUUUCAAAACCUUUUUCACUCUGAUAUAUUUUUAGCUAGCUUCAUAUCGCACUCUCUUCAUCUCAUGAUUCCAUGAUCACAAAUAGGUUGAGUGAGCAAGAAGUUACUGAUGGGGUUCUAGGGUUUCUGAGAGAACCUGAUUAUUGAUCUGGUCUCAGAUUUAUUCCGCCCUAAGGCCCAAGAUUUAUAAACCGUGGAGAAGAGAAUAACGCUCAAGAAAGAAGAGGAAUAGGAAAUUGGGAAAAAGAAAAGAGCCUUUUCUAAUGACGGAGACGAUCAUUUAUAUACACGCCAGAAACUAUAACCGUUGAGAUUAGAGAGGGAGGUUUACAGCCGUCCGAUCUCAUAAUUAUUAUAUGAGGUUUUAAUACUAUUAAGCAACCGCGUACGUAAUUACAGUGCUGUCCAUGUACUAUUUCAUUUGUUUUUGUCUAAAUUACCCUUGAACUGCUGUCUCGGUCUCUAGAUAAGUCCUUUUCCAAAAUUCUAACUUUUUUUUUUGUUAUUACGUACCUGAGGAAAAUUCGAGCAAGCGAGAAGGUCAAAGGCGGUAACAUUUUUUCUUUUUUUUUUCAACUAACGAGAUGAAUCAAUGAUACUCCUUCUACCCUCCUCGCUCUCUGAAUUUGACUGCGUCUGAGUCUCCUGCGUUUGAAGUGGUAGCGGUUGGGAAGAUUGUGUAGGUAUGAACAACUGAGCCUCAUGAUGUUGCUGCUUUUGCUGAUGAUGAUGAUGUAAUUGCUGAUCCGUAUGAUAACUAUCAUUCGUGGGAGGACUAUCAACAAAGUUACCACCAAGAGCCAAAGACGGUGACAUUCCGGUUACCGUUGUACCGCUGGAGCUUAAUUGAUUAAAUCCGGUUACUGUAACUGAACCGGUCGGUACAAAGUCAAAACCAUUAUCAAACCUCAAAACCUCAACUUGAGGUUGGUUUUGAUGAUGAUGAUUUGGACUAGUGUUACUUCCUCCUCCUGCUCCAAACGCUCUAAACAAUUCAUUCUGCUGCUGCUGCUGCUCUCUCGCAACCGCAUUAACCGCAGCUAGUUG
RNAcentral lists this long non-coding RNA (2396 nucleotides) under Brassica napus (rape). RNAcentral describes it as "long non-coding RNA (BNAP_LNC006025)". The record is from RNAcentral. Lineage: Eukaryota; Viridiplantae; Streptophyta; Magnoliopsida; Brassicales; Brassicaceae.